This 72-nucleotide transfer RNA is filed under the name Camelus ferus (Wild Bactrian camel). It matches the Rfam family "tRNA". From Rfam's summary of the family: Transfer RNA (tRNA) molecules are approximately 80 nucleotides in length. Their secondary structure includes four short double-helical elements and three loops (D, anti-codon, and T loops). Further hydrogen bonds mediate the characteristic L-shaped molecular structure. tRNAs have two regions of fundamental functional importance: the anti-codon, which is responsible for specific mRNA codon recognition, and the 3' end, to which the tRNAs corresponding amino acid is attached (by aminoacyl-tRNA synthetases). tRNAs cope with the degeneracy of the genetic code in two manners: having more than one tRNA (with a specific anti-codon) for a particular amino acid; and 'wobble' base-pairing, i.e. permitting non-standard base-pairing at the 3rd anti-codon position. The record is from Rfam by way of RNAcentral. Lineage: Eukaryota; Metazoa; Chordata; Mammalia; Artiodactyla; Camelidae.
GAGGGUAUAGCUCAGCAGUAGAGUGCAUGCUGAACACGCAUAAGGUCCUGGGUUCGAUCCCCAGUACCUCCA